This 449-nucleotide ribosomal RNA is filed under the name uncultured bacterium. RNAcentral's name for it is "bacterial SSU rRNA". It matches the Rfam family "Bacterial small subunit ribosomal RNA", at positions 30 to 470 of the family's 1533-position model. The record is from RNAcentral.
AUUGAACGCUGGCGGCAGGCCUAACACAUGCAAGUCGAACGGUAACAGGAAGCAGCUUGCUGCUUCGCUGACGAGUGACGGACGGGUGAGUAAUGUCUGGGAAGCUGCCUGAUGGAGGGGGAUAACUACUGGAAACGGUAGCUAAUACCGCAUAAUGUCGCAAGACCAAAGAGGGGGACCUUCGGGCCUCUUGCCAUCGGAUGUGCCCAGAUGGGAUUAGCUUGUUGGUGGGUAACGGCUCACCAAGGCGACGAUCCCUAGCUGGUCUGAGAGGAUGACCAGCCACACUGGAACUGAGACACGGUCCAGACUCCUACGGAGGCAGCAGUGGGGAAUAUUGCACAAUGGGCGCAAGCCUGAUGCAGCCAUGCCGCGUGUAUGAGAAGGCCUCGGUUGUAAGUAACGUUUCUAGCGGGGUAGGAAGGGAGGUAAAGGUUAAGUAACCUUUA